RNAcentral lists this ribosomal RNA (253 nucleotides) under uncultured bacterium. RNAcentral's name for it is "partial 16S ribosomal RNA". It matches the Rfam family "Archaeal small subunit ribosomal RNA", at positions 474 to 727 of the family's 1478-position model. The record is from RNAcentral.
UACCAACACCCCGAGUGGUCGGGACGAUUAUUGGGCCUAAAGCGUCCGUAGCCGGUCCUGCAAGUCCUCCGUUAAAUCCACCCGCUCAACGGUUGGGCCGCGGGGGAUACUACAGGGCUAGGAGGCGGGAGAGGCGAGCGGUACUCGAUGGGUAGGGGUAAAAUCCACUGAUCCAUUGAAGACCACCAGUGGCGAAGGCGGCUUGCCAGAACGCGCUCGACGGUGAGGGAUGAAAGCUGGGGGAGCAAACCGG